Molecule: ribosomal RNA, 461 nt
Filed under: Phaeobacter inhibens
Lineage: Bacteria; Pseudomonadati; Pseudomonadota; Alphaproteobacteria; Rhodobacterales; Roseobacteraceae
Description: bacterial SSU rRNA
Rfam family: Bacterial small subunit ribosomal RNA
Source: RNAcentral
UUCGGGGGAAAGAUUUAUCGGAGAAGGAUCGGCCCGCGUUAGAUUAGAUAGUUGGUGGGGUAACGGCCUACCAAGUCUACGAUCUAUAGCUGGUUUUAGAGGAUGAUCAGCAACACUGGGACUGAGACACGGCCCAGACUCCUACGGGAGGCAGCAGUGGGGAAUCUUGGACAAUGGGCGCAAGCCUGAUCCAGCCAUGCCGCGUGAGUGAUGAAGGCCUUAGGGUCGUAAAGCUCUUUCGCCAGAGAUGAUAAUGACAGUAUCUGGUAAAGAAACCCCGGCUAACUCCGUGCCAGCAGCCGCGGUAAUACGGAGGGGGUUAGCGUUGUUCGGAAUUACUGGGCGUAAAGCGCACGUAGGCGGAUCAGAAAGUUGGGGGUGAAAUCCCAGGGCUCAACCCUGGAACUGCCUCCAAAACUCCUGGUCUUGAGUUCGAGAGAGGUGAGUGGAAUUCCGAGUGU